GCUUCUCGCUGGAGUGCGCACCGAGCGGCAGUGACUUCGCCGCUGCUGUAGUUCCCCGGCUGGAUGCGGUGACUGGUGCCAGUGCUCAGGCGCCCGCUGCCCUUGACCUCCCGCCCCGCGAGCCCUAACUCAGCGCAGGAGGACCGGCUGCCGCCGCCGCCGCCGCCAGAGCCUUGGCUGCCCAGUUGCCAGUCCUACCACGGUCGGAGGUAACCUUCCUGGCUCCAGUCACAUGGCCAGAUAAGGUGGUGUGUGUGGGCAUGAAUUAUGUGGACCACUGCAAAGAACAGAACGUGCCCGUGCCCAAGGAGCCCAUCAUCUUCAGCAAGUUUGCCAGCUCCAUCGUGGGGCCCUAUGAUGAGGUGGUCCUCCCACCACAGAGCCAGGAGGUAGAUUGGGAAGUGGAGCUGGCCGUGGUCAUUGGAAAGAAAGGCAAGCACAUCAAGGUGAAGUGGAAAAGGUGGGCUCCCAGGCCAGAGUGCAGCAGAGUCCCCAGCUCCUGCCUCUCCUAGUUCUGACCUCGCUCACCAACACAUGGUGCCAGCUGUCCCUGACACUAGGAAGCAGUCAGCCUCCUUGCUCCCUGACACUGCCUUUCCCUUCACCCACCUUUGGCUGGCUCUGGCUACUAACAUGGGAUAACAGCUUUGAGAUCCCUUGCCACAGGUGUUGGUGUCACCCAUGAUCUAUCCUCCUGUAUGGCCAAAUCCCCUGCCCCCAUAGGCCACAGAUGCCAUGGCCCACGUGGCCGGCUUCACUGUGGCUCAUGACGUGAGUGCUCGUGACUGGCUAACAAGAUGCAAUGGGAAACAGUGGCUGCUGGGAAAAACCUUCGACACCUUCUGCCCUCUGGGCCCUGCCUUGGUGACCAAGGACAGUGUAGCAGAUCCACACAACUUAAAGAUCUGCUGUCGAGUGAAUGGGGAAGUGGUCCAGAGCAGCAACACCAACCAGAUGGUUUGUUACCUUUUACCCAGGGGAUGUCAUCCUGACUGGGACCCCCCCACCUCCACCCAGGUGUCGGUGUAUUCAGGAAACCUCCUGUCUUUCUCAAGGUCUCUGAAGGUCCAGACAGCACUGAUGGCGAGCUUUGGGUCCGCACACUCUGGAAAGAAGAGAGAAGUGAAGGCUCUAGGUAGGGAGAACAGAGAGCCACUGGGCACAGGCUUCUCUCCUCUUGUUUAAAGAAGCCCAGGGAGGGAUAGAGCUCUGACUGGACAGAAGACUGUACUCUGCAGCCUGCCUUCCUAGAGUUGGGUUGUCACUGUCCUGCAGGGGGCAGCAGCCACCAGCAAACACCACUGCCUGCAGGAGCCUGGGCUGACUGGUUGGGACUCACCGAAGAUCCCUUCUUCCUGGGCGGUGGCCUGCAGGAACUGGAACAGCUGCUCUGUGUAGCCCAACUCUGCAGAAGAGAGAAGACCUAGACCUGGCACCCAGCACAGACACAGCCUGCCUCGAGGACUGCAAGGGAACAAGGGCCUCACCAGUAUCGGGCAGCUGGCCCUGGCGGAGGAAGGCGGCAGCCUGUGCAAAGGCCUUGAGCAGCGGGCUGAGCAGGCGGCAGAGGAAAAGAAAGAAAUCUGGGCAGUGUGACUGCUGGCUGAGCUGGAGGGGACAGGCCGGGGUGAGUGCAGCUCCCCACCGCCUCCCUACCACCUCCCUCCAGGGGCAGCUUUUUGAAACACACCCUGAAGUACCGGCCGUCAGCCUCUCCGAAGUCAUCACUGUCACUAUCAGUAAAGUCCCCACUCGGUUUCCACAGCA
Homo sapiens (human) is the source of this 1767-nucleotide long non-coding RNA. The record is from Ensembl. Lineage: Eukaryota; Metazoa; Chordata; Mammalia; Primates; Hominidae.